Molecule: non-coding RNA, 73 nt
Organism: Stegodyphus mimosarum
Lineage: Eukaryota; Metazoa; Arthropoda; Arachnida; Araneae; Eresidae
Source: Rfam
ACCUUCGUUAUGCAGUGGUCAGCACGCUCGGCACGGAUUCGAGAGGACCGUGGUUCGAGUCCCGGCGAGGGCA